UACAGAGGGUGCAAGCGUUAAUCGGAAUUAUUGGGCGUAAAGGGCUCGUAGGCGGUCCGUCACGUCGGGAGUGAAAACUCAGGGCUCAACCCUGAGCGUGCUUCCGAUACGGGCGGACUAGAGGUAUGCAGGGGAGAACGGAAUUCCUGGUGUAGCGGUGGAAUGCGCAGAUAUCAGGAGGAACACCGGUGGCGAAGGCGGUUCUCUGGGCAUUACCUGACGCUGAGGAGCGAAAGCAUGGGGAGCGAACAGG
Molecule: ribosomal RNA, 253 nt
Filed under: uncultured bacterium
Lineage: Bacteria
Description: partial 16S ribosomal RNA
Rfam family: Bacterial small subunit ribosomal RNA
Source: RNAcentral